This 855-nucleotide ribosomal RNA is filed under the name uncultured organism. RNAcentral's name for it is "bacterial SSU rRNA". It matches the Rfam family "Bacterial small subunit ribosomal RNA", at positions 527 to 1382 of the family's 1533-position model. The record is from RNAcentral.
GAAGGGACCUAGCGUAGUUCGGAAUUACUGGGCUUAAAGAGCUCGUAGGUGGUUAGAAAAGUUGGUGGUGAAAUCCCAAGGCUUAACCUUGGAACUGCCAUCAAAACUUUUUGACUAGAGUAUGAUAGAGGAAAGUGGAAUUUCUAGUGUAGAGGUGAAAUUCGUAGAUAUUAGAAAGAACACCGAAUGCGAAGGCAACUUUCUGGAUCAUUACUGACACUGAGGAGCGAAAGCAUGGGUAGCGAAGAGGAUUAGAUACCCUCGUAGUCCAUGCCGUAAACGAUGUGUGCUAGACGUUGGGAAUUUAUUUCUCAGUGUCGCAGCGAAAGCGUUAAGCACACCGCCUGGGGAGUACGACCGCAAGGUUAAAACUCAAAUGAAUUGACGGGGACCCGCACAAGUAGUGGAGCAUGUGGUUUAAUUCGAAGAUACGCGCAGAACCUUACCAACACUUGACAUGUUCGUCGCGACUCUAAGAGAUUAGAGUCUUCGGUUCGGCCGGACGAAACACAGGUGCUGCAUGGCUGUCGUCAGCUCGUGUCGUGAGAUGUUGGGUUAAGUCCCGCAACGAGCGCAACCCUUACUUUUAGUUGCCACCAUUUAGUUGAGCACUCUAAAAGAACUGCCAGUGAUAAGCUGGAGGAAGGUGGGGAUGACGUCAAGUCCUCAUGGCCCUUACGUGUUGGGCUACACACGUGCUACAAUGGUACCUACAAUGAGAUGCGAAGAGGCGACUCUAAGCCAAUCCCAAAAAGGUACCUCAGUUCGGAUUGCACUCUGCAACUCGAGUGCAUGAAGCUGGAAUUACUAGUAAUCGUGGAUCAGCGCGCCACGGUGAAUACGUUCCCGGGUCUU